GCUUUGUGAGGUACAAUGGAAGAUGACCUCCAAGAAACUGACCAACUGGGAGAGGUUGGAUUAUCCCAUCAUCUCAAUCUAAGCCUCUCGGUUCGGGUUGAGCAUAGAGACGCUGCUCCACUCCUAGGCAUCCUAUAGAUGCCACAUAGGAGAAGAAACUGCAUGCAAUAGAAAUGAAAUGGAUACCAUGAACAGGUCACGUUGAAAAACUAGAGGACUAUUUUGAGAAGCUAAUGAGAAUCCAGAAUCUUACUUAUAAAGUGACGUACGUUGGAUCGGAGCCUGAUCCUUAGUUUCUUUCUCAAUGAUCUCUUAAAGGAAUAUAACUUUAAUCAUACGGGAAGUUGAUACACAAUAUUAGUAAACUUCUGGAUAAUUCGUGUACAAUGAAAGAUAACACAGAUUCAGUAAAUCAAGUUUCAAAUAUUCCUAAAACAUUGUAGGGG
Molecule: long non-coding RNA, 446 nt
Filed under: Elaeis guineensis (African oil palm)
Lineage: Eukaryota; Viridiplantae; Streptophyta; Magnoliopsida; Arecales; Arecaceae
Description: long non-coding RNA (EGUI_LNC029200)
Source: RNAcentral